Molecule: long non-coding RNA, 314 nt
Organism: Odocoileus virginianus texanus
Lineage: Eukaryota; Metazoa; Chordata; Mammalia; Artiodactyla; Cervidae
Source: RefSeq, a predicted model, not a curated record
AAAAGCAUGGCUGUUGAUCUUUCCUAGUCCUUGGUUCUGCUUUCUCCCCGGGGCCUUACAGGAGGGUGUGGUCACAACUGAUAAAGACCUGAGCGUCCAGCCAGCCCACUCAGUACACACAAAGAAAGGCAUCCACCAGAGGGCUUGGUUCCCUGAAAAACUCAGGGACGAGAAAAGCAGCUAGAGAUGAUCACACCAAGGGAAGAAUGGAGAGCAGCCAGCAGCCAGCAAGAGCACAGAGGCCUCAGUCCUACAGCCGCAGGGAACUGGUUCUGCCAACAACCUAAAUAAACUUGGGAGCAAAUUCUUCCCCA